CUGUGACCCUGGCAGAGCGUGUGCCAGCAGCAGCGAGGGGAUGGACCAGAGCAGGGUCUGGGUGCCAGCACACAGCUACCUUCCCCAGAGCCAAGCCAUUAUUACCAAAACUACAAAAUCCCAGCGUGGAUCUUCCUGCUGAAUAAUGCCUGAAGAGAACUGCAAGCACCAUCACAGAGAUGUCACUCCAGCAAUGAGGGACUGUGCCUAAUGCUGGAAUUACUGACAUCUGUAUAUCAUUUCAGUGGCAAAUUACAGCUGGGACAUGCUAACCCCAAAGUAAAAUAAAGAUCCCAGAAACCAUCAAAGCUGUUACAGGUCUCCAGGAAUAUCUCUAUUUCAGUCUCAGAUGUGAUGGUAUCGAAGCACUGGCUGGGAACCACUGUUCUCAUCAGUACAUACCAUCCGACUCUGGAAUAAAUCUGUGGCCAGAGUUCAGCUUGGAUGGUGAAGCUGAAGCUACAGAGAUAAGAAACUGCCUGAAAUGUCUCCUUGUACCUGCACUAUGGUCAUGGGAAGCAUGGAAAUUAUGGAAGCAGUGGAUUCCCAGCCUUCUGACAUUUGCUGCAUUCUCCUUGUGCUGAUCUUAUGUAUCUUAGCCCAGUAUUAAAUCUGACUGCCUGCAAAAUAAUGCUCUAGAGUUAUUUUCUGUUGUACAUACAAAAUGCUCAAGUGGUUGAGUAGACUGCAUUUCAUCCAGAUUUAACAUAAAGUUAUUAUCAUUAAAUAAUCAUUAAAUGCUGCUGUGAAUGAGAUUUAUACAGCAGUGAUAAACUUACAGUCCCCAUCAGGUUCUCUACACACUUUAC
Poecile atricapillus (Black-capped chickadee) is the source of this 809-nucleotide long non-coding RNA. RefSeq lists it as uncharacterized. NCBI's taxonomy places the organism in Eukaryota, Metazoa, Chordata, Aves, Passeriformes, Paridae. The record is from RefSeq and is a predicted model, not a curated record. The transcript is spliced from 4 exons.